RNAcentral lists this ribosomal RNA (1522 nucleotides) under Piptocephalis sp. RNAcentral describes it as "partial large subunit ribosomal RNA". It matches the Rfam family "Eukaryotic large subunit ribosomal RNA", at positions 87 to 1409 of the family's 3401-position model. Lineage: Eukaryota; Fungi; Zoopagomycota; Zoopagomycetes; Zoopagales; Piptocephalidaceae. The record is from RNAcentral.
CGGCGAGUGAAGCGGGAAGAGCUCAAAUUUGAAAUCGUGUCAGGGAGACCUGGUCGCGAGUUGUAGUUUGAUGGGGUAUGCUUGGUGGGCGCCUAGGUCUAAGUCCCUUGGAAAAGGGUAUCAUAGAGGGUGACAAUCCCGUCUGUGGCCUAGUCAGCGGUCCACCGUGUAAGCUACCUUCAAAGAGUCGGGUUGUUUGGGAAUGCAGCCCUAAGCUGGUGGUAAAUUCCAUCUAAAGCUAAAUAUCCGUGAGAGACCGAUAGCGAACAAGUACCGUGAGGGAAAGUUGAAAAGCACUCUGGAGAGAGAGUCAAACAGCACGUGAAAUUGUUAACAGGGAAACGUUGGGCACCAGUACGCGCCUCGCGUGAAAUCAACCAUCCUUUCCCCAAGGGUUUGCCUCGGUGGAGUGAGCCUUAACCAGCCACUUGCCGGGGCGUGCCCGAGGGGGGUGGUGCACUUUUGCGUGGGCGGGUCAACAUCGGUUAGGACCGUCGUAAACGGCCCUGGGGAAGGUAGGUUCCGCCCUUGUGGUGGAACAACUUAUAGCCCCGGGGAUUGCCUACGGUGAUCUUGACCGUGGAUUCGCGAUCCGUGCUCCCCUCGGGGGGCAGGUCCCUUUGGCCCUCGUUGGUCCCCUUGGCCUAGGCAGCUUGCUGACUAGGUCGGGUGUGGAUUGCGAUGUCUGGCCGGAGUAGGGCUCUAACGGGUCACGGACGUUGGCGAAAUGGUUCUCAACGACCCGUCUUGAAACACGGACCAAGGAGUCUAACAUGUGUGCGAGUAUUUGGGUGCUAAACCCGGAUGCGCAAUGAAAGUGACCACAGGGGGGAAGGGUAGGCUCUUUACGGGGCCUGCCCCGCACCCUCGACCGAUCUGAUUGCCCUCGUGGCGACGGGUUUGAGUUGGAGCAUAUCUGUUAGGACCCGAAAGAUGGUGAACUAUGCCUGAGUAGGAUGAAGCCAGAGGAAACUCUGGUGGAGGUCCGUAGCGAUUCUGACGUGCAAAUCGAUCGUCGAACUUGGGUAUAGGGGCGAAAGACUAAUCGAACCAUCUAGUAGCUGGUUCCCGCCGAAGUUUCCCUCAGGAUAGCAGAAACGCGUGGCAGUAUUAUGAGGUAAAGCGAAUGAUUAGAGGCCUUGGGGGCGAAAUGCCCUUAACCUAUUCUCAAACUUUAAAUAUGUAAGAGGUCCCUGCCGCUUCGGUGGGCUCGGACGUUGUCGUAUGUGCGUUUCUAGUGGGCCAUUUUUGGUAAGCAGAACUGGCGAUGUGGGAUGAACCAGACGGGAGGUUAAGGUGCCGGAAUGUACGCUCAUGUAGACACCACAAAAGGUGUUGGUUCAUCUAGACAGCAGGACGGUGGCCAUGGAAGUCGGAAUCCGCUAAGGAGUGUGUAACAACUCACCUGCCGAAUGAACUAGCCCUGAAAAUGGAUGGCGCUCAAGCGUGCUACCCAAACCUCCCCGCCAUGGGUUAAUGCGAGGCCCUGGCGAGUAGGCGGGCGUGGGGGUUGUGAAGAAGC